RNAcentral lists this transfer RNA (68 nucleotides) under Fukomys damarensis (Damara mole-rat). It matches the Rfam family "tRNA". From Rfam's summary of the family: Transfer RNA (tRNA) molecules are approximately 80 nucleotides in length. Lineage: Eukaryota; Metazoa; Chordata; Mammalia; Rodentia; Bathyergidae. The record is from Rfam by way of RNAcentral.
GGGGAUUUAGCUCAGUGGCACAGCACGUGCCUGGGAAGCACGAGGUCCUGAGUUCAAUUUGAUCCCUG